CGCCCCAAAGGAUCCGCCCCCUUUCUUCCGAGGUCAGGCGAAGUGGAAGCUCCGCCCCGCUGAGGGAGGGGAAGCUGCUGAGAACUAGAGGGGCGGUUCCACCUGGCCCCGCCCCCUGUAUCUCUGGGCACCGGCCUCUGCCACGCCCCACCUCUGUUUUGCCUUUGUGAGUUCUCAAACGACUGGUGUCCCGGUUUUUUUUCCAUCUAAACAAGAGAAACCCCCAAAGUAGAAGGAAUCCAAGCUUCUUUCCACCUGUGGAUUGACCUGCUACAUUCAAAAGGGUGUUUCGCAGGUGAUCCGAGGUAAUGUCAAGUUUACAAGAUGACUAAGCAUCGCAGUGGCAGGCUAGCUGCAAUGCAAGGUCCGACUUCACAGGCACCCAUUCUCUCUUCGAUCUGCACAGUGAGCUAGCCAGCCGUAGGAAUGGUUCCCCUGGUAAAACUACUUGUCACUCAAGCCUGACAGUAGAAGUAGAAGGCUAACUCCAAAAAUUAUCCUCUGAUUUCCAUACUUGUAUUAUGGCACUUAGAUAUCUAAAUCCAUGCAACUCGUACAGACAUAAAUCUUUUAAAUUUCUUUUAAGAAAAAAAAAUUCAUCUGUGUGUUAAAGAUUCACCUCUUUCAUCCUGGACCUUCGGAAACAGAGACAAACAGAGCUCUUAAGUUUGGGGCCAGCCUGGUCUACAUAUAGAGUUCCAGACUAGCCAGAACUCCACAGUGAGACUCUAUUUCCACACAAGUUUGUUUGUUUUUUUGGUUUUUUGUUCUGGAUUUGUUGUUUCACAUCAUGGACCCCAGUCUCACUCAUCUCCCAGUCCCCUCAAAUCCACCCUCCAGCCUUGAAACUUCCAGCCAAAAGAGAAAAUACACAAACAAAAUAAAUAAGACAAAACACAGAAAACAUCUCGUGGUGGAAACUGUCCUAUGUCAGUGUGUCCCACAGUAUACCCCUCUUGUCCACACAUCUUCACUUGCAAAUGUUCACUGCAGUGAGUCAUUGGUCUGGUUGGAAGUCUCUGGCUUCUGUGACACCGUCACAUUCUGGCCAGAAUGUUGUUGUCCUAUGUCAUGGAGAUCUUGCAGUUUUAGAUCCAAAAGACUGAACCUUUCAUGUGCCCCAACAGAUCACAGAUGAGGAGACGUUCUCCCGGCCAAGGUUAAUGACUCCGUGAUAAUAGCAGCACAAGUCCAAAAGGUCUGUUCCUGACAGGACCCCCACUCCACUUCAAAGAUGAUGAGCAUCAAUCACCUCCACAUGGAGUGGCUUCCACUGUGGCAAGCCAGACACUGGGCAAGGAAAAUGCCCACACUGCAACUACGGGCAAGUUUCUACAGAAAAGACAAGCAGGAAAGUCAACUGCCACGCUCUGCCAACGCACGCUAAGCAAGCCCUUCAUAAUUCCUGCUCCACAAAGUCUGUCAGACAUGCUGAGCAGAAGGCUGAGGAUAAAUGCCCCAACAUCGUAGAGACAAUUCUGGGUAGCUGUCUAGCCCGCCAACCGUCUGUCAGUUCUUAGUCUUGGAAGCUUCUGCCUGCACUUCCUGCAAAUUCAGGUCAUAUUGAUCCCUUCUCCGGUCUCUGACGGAGGUGAAGACUGGAUAGUUAAGAGUCUUUACUAUAAGCUUAAGUUGUUUAGAAUUUAAGAAGAUCUAGAUCUAUGAAGAUGUCUUUUAGCAUGGUCAUACAAGUUAGGAUAGAAAAUGAUUUAGAUACAGAACUGUGAACUCACCAAGAUAGGCUAGACAAUACUUUGUCUAAGUUGCCAAAUUUAAAUGGACCAGACAUUAUAAAUGUAUAUCACACCUUAUAGUUUUCAUAAUCAUUUUAAUUGUACUCAAUUUGUAUUCAAAUUGAAAGAAAAAGAGCCUUUUAUUGGGAUAAAAAGGGGAACUAUAGAGAGUAUAUCUUUUUUUUAAAGAUAUAUUUCGUGUAUGAGGGUACACUGUCGCUGUCCUCAGACACACCAGAAGAGGGCAUCAGAUCCCAUUACAGAUGGUUAUGAGCCACCUUGUGGUUGCUGAGUAUUGAACUCAGGACCUCUGGAAGAGCAGUCAGUGCUCUUAACCACUAAGCCAUUUCUUCAGCCCAAGAGUAUAUCUUGUAUAUUGUAUGGAUGCAUUGCCUGUCAAUUAAAAAGUCUAUGGCCUAUGACUUAGGCAAGGAAUAAGAGGUGGACCAGUAGGCAAAAAGAAUUCUGGGAUAGAGCCAGGCACACAAAGCCCCACUUAGGAAGAUUUAAGGAGGUGGACACAUGGUACUUGAGCACAGGUAACCAGCCACAUGACAGAAUGUAGGUUAAAAUAAAUGGGUUAUUUUAGUUACCAGCUAGUCAAAGAAGAGCCUAGCUAUGUGGUGGUUUGAAUACACUUGGCUCAGGGAGUGUAACACCUAAUAAGGAGGCAGGGCCUUGUUGGAGGAAGUGUGUCACUAUGGAGGUGGGCAAUGAGACCUUCCUCCUAGCCACAUGGGAGUCAGAUAAAGAUGUAGAACUCUCAGCUCCGGCACCAUGCCUGCCUGGACACUGCCAUGCUCCACCUUGAUGAAAAUGGACUGAACUCCUGAACCUGUAAGCCAGCCCCAAUUAAAUGUUGUUCUUUAUAAAUGUUGCCUUGGUCGAGGUCUCUGUUCACUGCAGUAAAACCCUAACUAAGACAGUGUUUGUAAAUAUAUUUUGAGUCUGAAUCUUAUUUCUGGGACCAUAGAGCUGGAGGAAAAACAACAAAGCAAAGCAAACUUCUACAUGAGAGGUCAGCUACCUCUCCAGAGCACUGCAGCCAGUAAGGGGCAGGGCCAGUUUUCACACCCCCUGGGAAUAGUACACCUACAGGGGACAGCUUUUUUUUUUUUUGGAUAUUUUAUGUAUUUACAUUUCAAAUGUUAUCCCCUUUCCUGGUUCCCCUCUCCCCAAACUCCCUCCCCUGCUUCUAUGAGGGUGCUCCCCCUCCCACCCACCCACUCCCAUGUUGCCACCCUGGCAUUCCCCUACACUUGGGAAUUGAUCCUUCACAGGACCAAGGGUUUCUCUUAUUGAUGCCAGACAAUGCCAUCCUCUACUACAUAUGCAGCUGGAGCCAUGGGUCCCUCCCUGUGUACUCUUUGGUUGGUGUUUUAGUCCCUGGAAGCUCUUGGGGGAGGUCUGGUUGGUUGAUAUUGUUGUUCUUCCUAUAGGGUUUCAAACCUCUUCAGCUCCUUCAGUUCCUUCUCUAACUCCUCCAUUGGGGUCCCAGUGCUCAGUCCAGGGGUUAGCUGCAAGCAUCCUCAUCUGUAUCAGUAUGGCCAUCCAUAUCUGGCUCCUGUCAGCAAGCAUUUUUUUGGCAUCAGCAAUAGUGACUGGGUUUGGUGUCUGCAGAUGGGAUGGGUCCCCAGGUGGGGCAUGUAGUCUCUGGAUGGCCUUUUCCUUCAGUCCCUGCUCCACUCUUUAUCCCUGUAUUUCCUCCUGUGAGUAUUUUGUUUCCCCUUCUAAAAAGGACUGAAGCAGAGGGCAGCUCUUAACACCUCAAGCUAAUCACAAUAACCUCCCACAGACAUGCCCAUCUCCCAGGUGAUUCUAGACCUCAAGUUGACAGUUGAAAUUAGCCAUCAUUAGCCAUCAUAACUCAACCUACUGUCAACUUGAUAUUCAAAGGCAUCACACUUUAAAUCACAAUCUUCCGCACUUUGUGGAACCCAGAGUCUCAUGUUAAUUGCAUACUGCAAAAUAUAAUGCAGCUUCAAAAUAAUAGUCUUCAACAAUUUCAACAGUUUAAAGAGUCCAAAGUCCAUAUCUCAUUUGAGACUCAAGGCAAGCUCUUAACUGUGAACUCGUACAUUCAUUCUAGAAUCAAGAUUAGCAUUAUUUUUACCACUUAAGUAUAUACCGAGUGUAGUGGCUAUUCCUGGUUGUCAACUUGACUGUAUCUGGAAUGAACCACAGCUCAGAAUUGGAAGGCUCACCUUUGAUCCUGAUCUUGAGGCUGGGAGGUACAAGUUUCUGACCUGGAUCUUGGUCUGGAGAUCUUGAGACAAAGUGGCUAUGAAUCCCAGGAGCUUAAGGCAAGGAGAUCUCUGAGUUCAAGAUCACCUGGGACAGAGAAAGCCCCAAACCCAGGCAUAGUUUAAUCUGGGAUACACCUUCUUCUGGAGAUUUACCUAAGGACAUUGGAAGAAGGAAGAGUCUCUUUUUUGCCUGCCUGCCCACCUCGUGGGACUGAGCCACCACUAGAUCCUUGGACUUCCAUUCACAGCUGCUGCUGACCAUUGUUGGAGAGUUGGACUACAGACUGUAAGUCAUCAACCAAUUCUCUUACUAUAUAGGGACUACCCAUAAGUUCUGUGACUCUAGAGAGCCCUGACUAAUACUGAAUAGAUUGGACGAAUUUUCCUAUCUAGAGGUAUUUAUAAAUAUUGAAUUACUCGGCACACUCUUUUGUUGAUAUUGUUGAAGAUGAAUACCAUGCCGCAAUUCUGAGGUCUAUGUGGUCACGUUCACAGAAGAGACCGAAACAUAUUUAAGGUUAGAAGUAAAACCUAAGAGUUUAUAUCCUGUAUUUUGGCUUCUCUGGCACUAGCUAGUUAGUUGAUAGUUGGUAGCUGAAUAAAAAAAUCCUUGCUCUGCAGGCAAAGGGAAUCUUUGAAGCAAAGUCUUUUUUUGUUUCAUUUGAUGCAGUCAUCUGUUUGAUUGGCGGAAAUACCUUUUCAUCUCCUGGGAGCUCACUGUGCAAAGCUGUGACCAGUACUGCUAUUUUACUCCUGUUUAAAAGGCCCCUCCCUAUAAUAAUACAGGAUUCCCUUUGAUACAGCUCAUAUAAUUUUAGAUUAACUUUUAUAAGACACCGAGUGCUUAUUUUAUAAGGCAAUAAUGGAUAGUUUCUAAAAGGGAUAGAGAUUUAGAAGAACUAAUGCAAGUGUCUUAGACUUUGAAAACCAAACACCUUAAUUAACUUCACUAGUUGAUGUCAGGUCUACAAGCGCAAACAGAGCAGAGAUGGUGACAGACGGUCAGGUUCGAAGCCCGGUGAAUAUGCACAGUGAGGACAACACAUGGGGAGCAGCUGUGGGGAGACAGAUCAACUUAAAGUGGGGUGAUUCAAGGGUUAUAUAGUUUGGGGGAGAGCAGGGGACAGUGUGGUGCAUGUGUGCCUGCCAGCCAGCCGGCCAACCGGCGUGCGUGCGUGCGUGCGUGCUUACGUGCGUGCGUGCGUGUGUGUGUGCGAGUGUGUGUGUGCAUGUAUAAGAGUAUCCUGGAUGGUCAAAGGUCAUUGACUGAAGGUUUAAGGUACCAAGAUGCUUCAUUAGCAUGGGGAGGCAUUUCAGGUCCUAGCUGAAUGGGUUCUUAUCAGGAGAAAGGAAGUUGAACCUGUAACCUUAACCAAGGCUACGUGACAUUCCACAGGUAUAGGGUGUGGGGUCUGGGAUCCCCCAGGUUGAGAAGAGGAAACCUCACUGACAAAAGGAGUCCGCAAUUUUGCAUCAAGCUCAGAAAGCUAUCCGGAUAAUAGUGGGCUUCAACCUUAAUUAGCAGGGCGACAGACCCUGAGUCCUCACCAAGAGAUGGUGCACAGGGAGGAGGGGCUCCCUAGGGAUGGCUGCAGCUGCAGCGGGGUUAAUAGUAAGUCGAGAGACACCAGAGGGAAGGGCAGGAAGGAUAAUGUCUGUGAUGUUUUGAAAGAAAAUGGCCCAAAGGCGUUCUUAUUAAGGGGUGUGGCCUUGUUGGGGUAGGUGUGGCCUCAUUGGGUAGGUGUGGCCUGUUGGAGUGAGGAAGUGUGUCACUGUGGGAAAACUUUGAAGUCUCAAAAGCUCAAACCAGGCCUAGUGCAUCAUUUUCUUUUUGCUGCCUCUGGGUCUGGAUGUGAAACUCUCAUCUCUUUCUCCAGCACUGUCUGCCUGCAUGCCAUCAUGCUUCCCGUCAUGCUUCCCGCCAUGAUAACAAUAGGCUAAAGCUCAAAAAACGGAGCCAGCCCCAAUUAGAUGUUUUCCUUUAUAAGACUUUCCAUUAACCAGGCGGCACACCUUCAAUCCCGAGGCAGAAGCAGGCAGAUCUCUGAGUUCAAGGCCAGUCUGGUCUACAGAGCCAGUUCCAGGACAGCCAGAGCUACACAAAAAAUGCUAUCGCAAAAAACAACCCACCAACCAACAAACAAAUAAGAGUUGCCAUAAUCAUGGUGUAUUGUGAUCACAAUGAAACCCUAACUGAGGCAAUGUCCAUGUAUAUAUAUAUAUAUAUAUAUUAAUUAGAGUCUGACUGGCCUAGAAUUCAAUAUCUAGACCAGGGUAUCCUCUAACUCACAGAGAUCUACCUGCCUCAGCCUCCCAAAUUCUAGGGUUAAAGAAUUCUAGGGUAAAAACCAUUGCCUGGUUUAUUACAAUUAAACACACACACACACACACACACACACACACACACACACACACACAC
Molecule: non-coding RNA, 6398 nt
Organism: Rattus norvegicus (Norway rat)
Lineage: Eukaryota; Metazoa; Chordata; Mammalia; Rodentia; Muridae
Source: RefSeq, a predicted model, not a curated record